CGGCACGGGUGAGUAACACGUAUCCAACCUGCCGUCUACUCUUGGCCAGCCUUCUGAAGGAAGAUUAAUCCAGGAUGGCAUCAUGAGUUCACAUGUCCGCAUGAUUAAAGGUAUUUUCCGGUAGACGAUGGGGAUGCGUUCCAUUAGAUAGUAGGCGGGGUAACGGCCCGCCUAGUCAACGAUGGAUAGGGGUUCUGAGAGGAAGGUCCCCCACAUUGGAACUGAGACACGGUCCAA
Molecule: ribosomal RNA, 237 nt
Filed under: uncultured bacterium
Lineage: Bacteria
Description: partial 16S ribosomal RNA
Rfam family: Bacterial small subunit ribosomal RNA
Source: RNAcentral